RNAcentral lists this ribosomal RNA (495 nucleotides) under uncultured bacterium. RNAcentral describes it as "partial 16S ribosomal RNA". It matches the Rfam family "Bacterial small subunit ribosomal RNA", at positions 28 to 507 of the family's 1533-position model. The record is from RNAcentral.
GACGAACGCUGGCGGCGUGCCUAAUACAUGCAAGUAGAACGCUGAAGGAGGAGCUUGCUUCUCUGGAUGAGUUGCGAACGGGUGAGUAACGCGUAGGUAACCUGCCUGGUAGCGGGGGAUAACUAUUGGAAACGAUAGCUAAUACCGCAUAAGAGUAGAUGUUGCAUGACAUUUGCUUAAAAGGUGCAAUUGCAUCACUACCAGAUGGACCUGCGUUGUAUUAGCUAGUUGGUGGGGUAACGGCUUACCAAGGCGACGAUACAUAGCCGACCUGAGAGGGUGAUCGGCCACACUGGGACUGAGACACGGCCCAGACUCCUACGGGAGGCAGCAGUAGGGAAUCUUCGGCAAUAGACGGAAGUCUGACCGAGCAACGCCGCGUGAGUGAAGAAGGUUUUCGGAUCGUAAAGAUCUGUUGUAAGAGAAGAACGAGUGUGAGAGUGGAAAGUUCACACUGUGACGGUAUCUUACCAGAAAGGGACGGCUAACUACGUG